This 263-nucleotide unclassified non-coding RNA is filed under the name uncultured fungus. RNAcentral describes it as "partial contains small subunit ribosomal RNA, internal transcribed spacer 1, and 5.8S ribosomal RNA". The stretch from base 1 to 73 matches the Rfam family "Eukaryotic small subunit ribosomal RNA", at positions 1759 to 1831 of the family's 1831-position model. Lineage: Eukaryota; Fungi. The record is from RNAcentral.
GCAAACUUGGUCAUUUAGAGGAAGUACAAGUCGUAACAAGGUAUCCGUAGGUGAACCUGCGGAUGGAUCAUUACUAAAGUAUCCAUCCUACGUUUUGUGAACUGUUUUGACUGACAUAGUCAGUGUCUGGUGUGCUGUAAUGGCCAUCGAUGCUGACUACACUGAAUGUAUAUUUAAACUGACUGAGAGUACUAUACUAAUAGUAACCAAUGAGAACUUUUAGCAACGGAUCUCUUGGCUCUCGCAUCGAUGAAGAACGCAGC